CGACGACUGCCACGGAGAGCACCGCGGGCUCCCUGCCCCGCAGCUACGUGUACGAUGUCUGCUUCGCCGCCGGGACCGUCAACAGCGAGUUCCGCUUCCUCAGACCCCUCUUCCCCUGCUUCCCCGCCGGGCUGCCCCCCGGCCCGGGCCAACAGCGGAGCUCGGUGUGCUCGCAGGAUGCGGCCAACCUCGGGGGCGAAAGCGACUGGAUUGCACAGGGCAGUGCUCCCCUCUCUGAAGAUACGGGGCCCAGAGCUGCAGAUGCAGUUUGCUCUGCAAACAGGGAGCUGGAGCUAAAUGUCAGCUCUGAGCAAAACCCUUGGAUUGCCCAUCAAUAAGUGAAGAGAAGGACAAGUUUGUCUGUCCUCAAAGGGAAAAGGGAACAGACCAAACACCUCCCUAAAAGGUACCACGGAGAUGGAGCCUUCUCUGUGAGAGUACUUUCCCCUUGGGCAGUACUUUAUUCAUGUAGGUAUUUUGUAAUUGUGAUGUCGAUGGAGGAGGAACCGUCCUGCAUGUUGAUUACAUAAUUAUGUAUGAUUGUGAGAGUGCUACUGCUUCUACGUACUUCGAGAAAUACUGAAAACUGGCAGCAGAUCUUUAACUUCUUGUUACACCAUCUUUUCUGGGGGAUUUCCAUUUGUGCUUUGUUUCUUUUUAUGGAGAGAGCUUUGUAAUAAUAUCUUAAUUUUGUGCUGUGUAUUCAGCAGCAGGCGAAACAGGUAUUAUGCAGAAUUAAGUGGUGCUUGCAAAAGAAUUUCAUACUAAAUAAGUAGAAGCUGUUCACAUUUUGAGCUGCUGGCACUGGCACACUUGGCAUAUUUGACCAGUUUAGAGGUUCUCCUAAUUGUAGAGAGUAGGCUUUGAACAAUGUAUUCUUCCUUCCUUUCUUUCUUUUUUUUUCAUAAAGUUGAAAUUACCAUUUUGCUAUUUUUAAAAUCCAAUAUAAUUAAAAGCAUUGUUUGUGUUUUUUCAGUAAAAUAGACGAAGACUAUUACAAUUAACUUAGGGCACUGUAGAAUCUAGGGUGUCAAGAAGCUUUCUGGUUUUGUUUUGUCAGUCGGUGUUAAUCUAUAAAGUAAUGUGAGAAUUCCUGUUGCUGAACCAUUUUAAAGAGUUUCAAAUGAGUGAUGAGAGAAAACAAUAAAAUCUACUUGGAACUCCCUCGGGUGAGUGUG
RNAcentral lists this long non-coding RNA (1178 nucleotides) under Cyanistes caeruleus (blue tit). RNAcentral describes it as "lncRNA (ENSCCEG00000000420.1)". Lineage: Eukaryota; Metazoa; Chordata; Aves; Passeriformes; Paridae. The record is from RNAcentral.